UCCGCAGUAGCACAGUCGGUAGUGCGCCGCCCUGUUAAGGCGAGGGUCGCUGGUUCGAGCCCAGCCUGCGGAGCCA
This 76-nucleotide transfer RNA is filed under the name compost metagenome. RNAcentral describes it as "tRNA-Asn". It matches the Rfam family "tRNA". Rfam says of the family: Transfer RNA (tRNA) molecules are approximately 80 nucleotides in length. Their secondary structure includes four short double-helical elements and three loops (D, anti-codon, and T loops). The record is from RNAcentral.